Molecule: ribosomal RNA, 402 nt
Filed under: uncultured bacterium
Lineage: Bacteria
Description: bacterial SSU rRNA
Rfam family: Bacterial small subunit ribosomal RNA
Source: RNAcentral
GACGAACGCUGGCGGCGUGCUUAACACAUGCAAGUCGAGCGGUAAGGCCCUUUCGGGGGUACACGAGCGGCGAACGGGUGAGUAACACGUGGGUGACCUGCCUUCAGCUCUGGGAUAAGCCUGGGAAACUGGGUCUAAUACCGGAUAUGACCUUCUGCCGCAUGGUGGGGGGUGGAAAGUCCUGGGCUUCAUUGUCUGGGUUCGGCUGGGGAUGGGCCCGCGGCCUAUCAGCUUGUUGGUGGGUAACGGCUCACCAAGGCUGCGAUGGGUAGCUGGUCUGAGAGGACGAUCAGCCACACUGGGACUGAGACACGGCCCAGACUCCUACGGGAGGCAGCAGUAGGGAAUCUUGCGCAAUGCGCGAAAGCGUGACGCAGCAACGCCGCGUGGGGGAAGAAGGCC